RNAcentral lists this ribosomal RNA (472 nucleotides) under uncultured bacterium. RNAcentral's name for it is "partial 16S ribosomal RNA". It matches the Rfam family "Bacterial small subunit ribosomal RNA", at positions 355 to 815 of the family's 1533-position model. The record is from RNAcentral.
UGGGGAAUAUUGGCACAAUGGGCGCAAGCCUGAUGCAGCCAUGCCGCGUGUGUGAAGAAGGCCUUCGGGUUGUAAAGCACUUUCAGCGAGGAGGAAGGUGGUGAGCUUAAUACGCUCAUCAAUUGACGUUACUCGCAGAAGAAGCACCUGCUAACUCCGUGCCAGCAGCCGCGGUAAUACGGAGGGUGCAAGCGUUAAUCGGAAUUACUGGGCGUAAAGCGCACGCAGGCGGUUUGUUAAGUCAGAUGUGAAAUCCCCGGGGCUCAACCUGGGAACUGCAUUUGAAACUGGCAAGCUAGAGUCUCGUAGAGGGGGGUAGAAUUCCAGGUGUAGCGGUGAAAUGCGUAGAGAUCUGGAGGAAUACCGGUGGCGAAGGCGGCCCCCUGGANGAAGACUGACGCUCAGGUGCGAAAGGCGUGGGGGAGCAAACAGGAUUAGAUACCCUGGUAGUCCACGCUGUAAACGAUGUCGA